UUUGACCCAAUCUAAUGAGCUUACAUAAUUUUGUACAUCCGUAUGUGUAACAAUAACUGUAAGUCUUGGGAAACAAAAAAAGUAACCAAAGAAUGUUGUAUAAAAAGAUUGCUAUUUAGGCCGAUUCUUUGUGCGGACACAUCUAGAAGUUCACUUCCCUGAAGUCCCUACCCUUCCACAGUAGAGGACGUGACACGUUCUGGAGUUUAUUUUUUAGUUGAAGUGAUUGGUGUCUCUCAGUGUACAUCUUAUACUCAUUUCCUUCUAGUUUGACGAGGAUACACUUAUUCAUGUUUGUACAGCAUAAGUCGUUUGAGUUUAUGUUCCUUGGAUGAGCCGAUUUAGUUGAGUGUUAAUAUGCGCUCAGUAAUACCUUACUAUGUUUCAGUGACCGUUUAGUACUUGAUGGCAAGGAAUUUAUGUUUCUGAUAUAGGUAAGCCAAAUGGUAUUACUGGCUGAUCAGUUUUGGUAGGGUUCUUAGUUACUCUGCAAUCAUGGUCACUGACUCACUGUUUUGUCUUAUGGACCCGCUAACACGUGUACCUUGAUGCACGGACACUUGUUUCUGUGCAUGUCCAAUACUUCUGAGAUCAGUUCGGGUCCCUGCAGACUUAUUUAAAUUGCAUCUCAUAUUUUCUUAAGAAAAAUCGUACAUGCAGAUUGCAAAUGCCGCGGAUCUCAUGGACAAUUAUUAGGUUUUUAGCUAAUGAGUACGACGAUUGUGACUAUCAAUGCAACAAAUAUGCUAUUAAUUACUACUUCAAGGAAGAUGAACCAGUUAGGGAGUUUGCGUGUCCCUUGUUUGAUUAGCUAGAAUUUGCUAGGUGUGCAAAAAAAUGUUCGAUCAUUGUAACAUUGAGCUUCUGCCGGUGGAGGAGAUCGACUGUAAGAGACACCACACGGUGGUGCAAAGGACUGCAGGAUGACUUGGCUGGCUUUGGUUUCUAAAUAUGUAAUACAAAAUCAAGGUAUAUCCAAAACGAACUUAUAUACUAGAGAUGUUUCCAAUUCUUUGUUUUCUUUUCCUUGGAAGUAUCAAAGUUGGAACCUUUCAAUUCUUGUUGUUUUGUUGUCAGUAUUCUGAUUAUAUGGCACUUGUGAAUUGUGAUGUCAAAAUUUUCCUGUGUUAUAGCAAGAAAGUAAAAGCUAUGUAAUCAUGCUCAUAUGGGUUGCACAAGAAAAUUAACUUUCUGGCACUUUCUACUAUUUUCAGGCUAAUCAAAUGCGGAAAAGUUUCAGUUUUGUCUUUUUCUCGCAUUCUUCUCCAUUUCACUCUAAUCAAACGUAGAUCUGCAACAUACUUCAUGGAACUAGUGUACAUGCCAAAUGCAUGGUUACUUUCCCGCCCGGAAGAUAUGUUACCCAAUCCAGGUCUUUCGUUUUGUGAUGGUAUCCUAAGUUAGACACCGAUCGCUUACUCAUUUUGCACAUAAGCUGUAAACUUUGUCAUGCAAGAACACAUCAAAGUUCUGUUGUAUUUCUUUUCUCCUUGAACAUAGGAGUGUAAAAACGUUAUUCAAAUACAUAUUCUGAAACCAUUUGCUGAACUGCUUGAACAAAUCCUAGGAAUCUGUUCUUGUCCUUUCUUAUCCUUAUUAGGAGACUUCCCUCACCAACAUACCCUUGAGGUUGAUCCUCCUAAAAUCCUUGUUAUCUCCCGCUGUAGAUUUCUGUCAUUUGCAUUUGUGUCCUAAUGUUAUGAGAAAAAUGUUCUGAGCAAGUUGGGGUGUUAACGUAACAGAGGAUAAGAUGUUUGUUAUGCAUUUUUCUUUGAAUGUCAGUUCAGUUUUCUUGUGAUACUUCGGAAUGGAAUAAUUAUCUCACACUUAAUUAUAGACAUGCAUUUUAAUUUCUUUCAACAGGUUUGGUCUUCAGUGAAUACUUGCAUAUUGGACUAGUUCUUUCAUUUAAAGAGGUUAACGACGAGGAACCACUUUUUCCAGCUGUAUCACUUCUUAACCUGAACAAAUCAUAGUUGGCAGUACUAUCAGGAGAAGCCGAGGAUGCUGCUGCUGCUAUUGUGGCUUGGCUGCAGCUGGGGACCAAACUCUCUGAUGUGGUUCCAAACAAGAGUGAUGCACUUGCAUUGUUUGACCUCUUCAGAGAUGAAGGCUACAUUUUGACCGAGCAUGAGGGAAGAUUUUGUGUAUCUCUGUGGUUGAAUUUAAUGUUCAAAGAAGGCUCCUUGCCACCAGACAUUCUCAAGUCAAUGUUCCAUGUCAGCUAGCUGCAUUGGCAAGAGAAAAAUUCUGGAAUCAAAACAAGGAGGUUGUUUGAUGACUGCAGACGAGGGGGAAAGCCGCAAAUAUCACUGGACUAUGUUCUAAGGGAGUUCAACCAUGUCAAAAAGGACGGUGAACUAGUGGGUUGGUCGGUCGAUGGUCUCAUUGCAAGGCCUUUGCCUAACAAAAUUCGUCCUGGAAACCUUUCCUCUGCUGUAAUAUGUUGACCUAAAUAUGCAGAAAGAAAGCAUGCGAUCACCCAGGUAGACAUUUGCAAGCAAAUAAAUAAGGGAAGGAAAUCCCUUCCUAUGCUGCAAGAAGUGGCUUCAGCCAAGGGGAAAGAUGGAAGGGAGAAGUCGAAGUUUGUGGGACAAGACUAGAACACCCUUGGUGGAUGGAAGGACCACGAAGAUGUGUACUGAUAAUUGGAACUUGCAGGUCCGCUGGCGGGAGUGGACCUGGGGGAGGGUUGCAACUUAAACUUUCCAAAUGAUUAGCUGCUAAUUUCAGAACAAUAUUCAUUCAUUGUGUGCUACCGUGGUGUUUGUCUAGGUCUCAGAAAAGUUCCCCAUUGAAUUUUUGAGAGAGUUGAUGAAAUGUUGCACGAGGUCGUGGAAAAACUUCUCUUGCAAUGUUAGCUUGAGUUUACGAAAAGAGAAUAUUCAGUAGCAAUCGGGUUCACUAAUUGGAUUCUGCCUCCUGGAUACUGAUCAUUCUUGUUGUAUUAAUAUAGUUUUCAUUGAGGAAAAUUGAGAUUCAAGGCACUUCCUAACGAAACAAAUAUUUUUCUGCAGUGUUAAUUUGUUCCAAAAAAAAAAAAAUUGUUUCCUACCAUUGUAUUACGAACUUACAACAGCCAUGACUUGUAUGCACUGAAGUUGCCGUGCAUUCAAAAAAUUUCCUCUGCUUAUUGGAGUGCUAAAUCCGCUUUUUAAGAGAUGAGGAAUCAGGCGAAAAAAAAUCGACCAACCACGAAGAGUGGUAGCCUUGUUAUUCCAGGCUUACUUCUAAGUUGUUUCGGUGGUCAAGAGGUUCCAAGGUCGUGAGAUCAACGGCUCUUCAAACUUUGGCCUCCUACGAAACCAACCCGACUAUGCUCUACUAGCCGUUUGUAAGGCGGUA
Rhododendron vialii is the source of this 3345-nucleotide long non-coding RNA. RefSeq lists it as uncharacterized. Lineage: Eukaryota; Viridiplantae; Streptophyta; Magnoliopsida; Ericales; Ericaceae. The record is from RefSeq and is a predicted model, not a curated record. The transcript has 3 exons.